RNAcentral lists this ribosomal RNA (497 nucleotides) under uncultured bacterium. RNAcentral describes it as "partial 16S ribosomal RNA". It matches the Rfam family "Bacterial small subunit ribosomal RNA", at positions 28 to 507 of the family's 1533-position model. The record is from RNAcentral.
GAUGGACGCUGGCGGCGUGCCUAAUACAUGCAAGUCGAGCGAACAGAUAAGGAGCUUGCUCCUUUGACGUUAGCGGCGGACGGGUGAGUAACACGUGGGUAACCUACCUAUAAGACUGGAAUAACUCCGGGAAACCGGGGCUAAUGCCGGAUAACAUUUAGAACCGCAUGGUUCUAAAGUGAAAGAUGGUUUUGCUAUCACUUAUAGAUGGACCCGCGCCGUAUUAGCUAGUUGGUAAGGUAACGGCUUACCAAGGAAACGAUACGUAGCCGACCUGAGAGGGUGAUCGGCCACACUGGAACUGAGACACGGUCCAGACUCCUACGGGAGGCAGCAGUAGGGAAUCUUCCGCAAUGGGCGAAAGCCUGACGGAGCAACGCCGCGUGAGUGAUGAAGGUCUUCGGAUCGUAAAACUCUGUUAUUAGGGAAGAACAAAUGUGUAAGUAACUGUGCACGUCUUGACGGUACCUAAUCAGAAAGCCACGGCUAACUACGUG